CCAUUUACAGGAGAAGUAGCUGACGCAAUAGCUACUAAAAACCGUUUUACAUGGAGAGAGGCAAAAAAACACAACUGCACCAUGAUUGGACACGAACACUACGUAAAUAUAUCAAGUGGCAUUGACGAAAUAUUUUGGAUAGAUGCUAAAGUAACUUAUUCGCCCUGGAUAGAAUAUUUAGGUAUAUAUAUAAAUAGAAGGUGUGGAAUGAGUGCCAAUGAGACAACUCUCCAUCGAAUUCACAAUUUGUAAAUUAAAAAUCAUUAUAGGUCAAAUUACAGUCAUCAACACAGAGCAUUGGCUCACACAGAACAGCAAGCUAUAAACGGCCCCAAAAUGACAAGUGUCAAACCAUUCAAACAGGAUACCAAACGGUCUAAUCUAUAUAAAAAAAAAAUGAGAAACGAGUACUUCAAGAAGAUUCAUUUUUUACUGUUGCCUGAAGUUUUCAUUGAUAAAUAAAAACAUAGAAAAUUAGGACCAAGACUGCCCAAUUUUAAGCUAGUGAGUUUAUGAAAGAUGCCAAAGAAGCUUUAGUUUUCAAAUGACUGUAGUGUUAAAAUGUAAGUCUUCAUAAUAAAAAAAAUCAUUUUGAAACAACACUCCAUACUUUUUCUACUUAAGGAUGUUACCAAGUUACAAAUGAAAUUGCUGAAAAUCCCGAAUACGUGACAUCAGGACAACAGAUAGAACAGUGUCUGCAAAUUUGCACGAAACAUAAUGUCAUCGGUAUUCAGGUAAAUGAUUUGAAAUAUUGCAGCCGUUAUUGUUAUGAAACUUGUUCAAAGAUACUACGUUCAUCUUAAUCAAAUACACAACGCCAUUACAAAGCAAAAGAAUAGUGUAUAAUAUUUAACUUUAACAAAUUAUACAUUUACUAUUAAGACAGAUAGAUCGGAGUAGCACGUUCAAUCUCAGCAUGUAUGUACCAUAAAGACAGUACAAGUAACAGGACUGACAUCGAAAAAUAUGACCCUACUUGCGACACCAUUUUUUUCGAAACUCGGAUAUUUUUUGGAUAAAUUUUUUAAGACACCUCGAUUUCUAAAAUUUCAAUGUUCUACUGUACAUGAAUUUGAAACUUUUUUAAACAGAAAAACAUAACAUUUUCUUUAUAUAAGCUUUUAAUGAUAUUCAUAUUAAGUGGUGUAUGUUUAUAUACGGAAAUACUAAUAUUAUUGAAAUAUUUAUAAAUGUAUGAAUUCUGUCAUGUCUUAAUUUUUCAUAGAAAAAUGUGAUCUUUUGAAACUUAUAUUAAUGAAGAAACUAUUUUUUUGUCUUAGAAAUGUUUUUUUUUUCUUUUAAAAGCAAGGACGAUGUGCUUGUCUACAACAUCUUCCAAAAAGUAAUGGUGAUUAUGAUCCUGUCUGUGAGUCAAAAGGAUGUGAGAAUG
RNAcentral lists this long non-coding RNA (1393 nucleotides) under Mytilus galloprovincialis (Mediterranean mussel). Lineage: Eukaryota; Metazoa; Mollusca; Bivalvia; Mytilida; Mytilidae. The record is from RNAcentral.